ACGCUGGCGGCGUGCCUAAUACAUGCAAGUCGAACGGUCUUUCUAUGGAAGCUUGCUUCCACUGAGAAGAUAGUGGCGAACGGGUGAGUAACACGUGGGUAACCUGCCCAUAAGAGGGGGAUAACAUCCGGAAACGGGUGCUAAUACCGCAUAGUUUUCUUGAUUGCAUGAUUGAGAAAGGAAAGACGGCCUUUGUGCUGUCGCUUAUGGAUGGACCCGCGGCGUAUUAGUUAGUUGGUGAGGUAACGGCUCACCAAGACGAUGAUACGUAGCCGACCUGAGAGGGUGAUCGGCCACAUUGGGACUGAGACACGGCCCAAACUCCUACGGGAGGCAGCAGUAGGGAAUCUUCCGCAAUGGACGAAAGUCUGACGGAGCAACGCCGCGUGAGUGAAAGAAGGUUUUCGGAUCGUAAAACUCUGUUGUCAGAGAAGAACAAGUUGGAGAGUAACUGCUCCAGCCUUGACGGUAUCUGACCAGAAAGCCACGGCUAACUACGUGCCAGCCGCGGC
RNAcentral lists this ribosomal RNA (512 nucleotides) under uncultured bacterium. RNAcentral describes it as "bacterial SSU rRNA". It matches the Rfam family "Bacterial small subunit ribosomal RNA", at positions 33 to 518 of the family's 1533-position model. The record is from RNAcentral.